RNAcentral lists this transfer RNA (69 nucleotides) under Siphluriscus chinensis. Its description in RNAcentral is "tRNA-Gln". RNAcentral also lists the same sequence under 1 other name. Lineage: Eukaryota; Metazoa; Arthropoda; Insecta; Ephemeroptera; Siphlonuridae. The record is from RNAcentral.
UAUAUUUUAGUGUAAGAGGCACAAAAGUUCUUGAUACUUUUAGCGAUAGUUUGAUUCUAUUAAAUAUAA